AUUGAACGCUGGCGGCAUGCCUUACACAUGCAAGUCGAACGGCAGCACGGGAGCAAUCCUGGUGGCGAGUGGCGAACGGGUGAGUAAUAUAUCGGAACGUGCCCAGUCGUGGGGGAUAACGCAGCGAAAGCUGUGCUAAUACCGCAUACGAUCUACGGAUGAAAGCGGGGGAUCGCAAGACCUCGCGCGAUUGGAGCGGCCGAUAACAGAUUAGCUAGUUGGUGGGGUAAAGGCCCACCAAGGCGACGAUCUGUAGCUGGUCUGAGAGGACGACCAGCCACACUGGAACGGAGACACGGUCCAGACUCCGACGGGAGGCAGCAGUGGGGAAUUUUGGACAAUGGGCGCAAGCCUGAUCCAGCAAUGCCGCGUGCAGGAUGAAGGCCUUCGGGUUGUAAACUGCUUUUGUACGGAACGAAACGGCCCUUUCUAAUACAGGGGGCUAAUGACGGUACCGUAAGAAUAAGCACCGGCUAACUACGUGCCAGCCGCCGCCGUAA
This 500-nucleotide ribosomal RNA is filed under the name uncultured bacterium. Its description in RNAcentral is "partial 16S ribosomal RNA". It matches the Rfam family "Bacterial small subunit ribosomal RNA", at positions 29 to 523 of the family's 1533-position model. The record is from RNAcentral.